GACGAACGCUGGCGGCGUGCCUAAUACAUGCAAGUAGAACGCUGAAGAGAGGAGCUUGCUCUUCUUGGAUGAGUUGCGAACGGGUGAGUAACGCGUAGGUAACCUGCCUGGUAGCGGGGGAUAACUAUUGGAAACGAUAGCUAAUACCGCAUAAAAUGGAUUAUCGCAUGAUAAUCCAUUGAAAGGUUCAAAUGCAUCACUACCAGAUGGACCUGCGUUGUAUUAGCUAGUUGGUGGGGUAACGGCUCACCAAGGCGACGAUACAUAGCCGACCUGAGAGGGUGAUCGGCCACACUGGGACUGAGACACGGCACAGACGGAUACGGGAGGAAGCAGUAGGGAAUCUUCGGCAAUGGACGGAAGUCUGAGCGAGCAAGGCCGCGUGAGUGAAGAAGGUUGUCGGAUCGGAAAGCUCGGUUGUAAGAGAAGAACGAGUGUGAGAGUGGAAAGUUCACAAUGUGACGGUAGCUUACCAGAAAGGGACGGCUAACUACGUG
This 497-nucleotide ribosomal RNA is filed under the name uncultured bacterium. Its description in RNAcentral is "partial 16S ribosomal RNA". It matches the Rfam family "Bacterial small subunit ribosomal RNA", at positions 28 to 507 of the family's 1533-position model. The record is from RNAcentral.